GAUGAACGCUAGCGAUAGGCUUAACACAUGCAAGUCGAGGGACAGGCGGAUGGGUGAGUAACGCGUAUGCAACUUGCCUCUUAGUGGGGGAUAACCCGGAGAAAUCCGGACUCAUACUGCAUACUAAGAGAUAGGCAUGCGUUCCAUUUGUUAGUUGGUGAGGUAACGGCUCACCAAGGCAUCGAUGGAUAGGGGAGCGGAGAGGCAGCUACCCCACAUUGGUACUGAGACCCGGCCCAAACUCCUACGGGGGGCAGCGGUGAGGAAUAUUGGUCAAUGGAGGAUACUCUGAACCAGCCAAGUCGCGUGAAGGAUGACGGUCUAUGGAUUGUAAACUUCUUUAGUAGGCGAGUAAGUAGCCUAAGAAUAAGUAUCGGCUAACUCCGUGCCAGCAGCCGCGGUAAUUC
This 407-nucleotide ribosomal RNA is filed under the name uncultured bacterium. RNAcentral describes it as "partial 16S ribosomal RNA". It matches the Rfam family "Bacterial small subunit ribosomal RNA", at positions 28 to 526 of the family's 1533-position model. The record is from RNAcentral.